UGCCAGCAGCCGCGGUAAUACGGAGGGGGUUAGCGUUGUUCGGAAUUACUGGGCGUAAAGCGCGUGUAGGCGGUUCGUUAAGUCUGAUGUGAAAGCCCGGGGCUCAACCCCGGAAGUGCAUUGGAAACUGGCGAACUUGAGUACGGGAGAGGAAAGUGGGAUUCCAGGUGUAGGAGUGAAAUCCGUAGAUAUCUGGAGGAACACCAGUGGCGAAGGCGGCCAACUGGACGAGUACUGACACUGAGGUACGAAAGCGUGGGUAGCAACCAGGAUUAGAUA
Molecule: ribosomal RNA, 279 nt
Filed under: uncultured bacterium
Lineage: Bacteria
Description: partial 16S ribosomal RNA
Rfam family: Bacterial small subunit ribosomal RNA
Source: RNAcentral